RNAcentral lists this ribosomal RNA (253 nucleotides) under uncultured bacterium. Its description in RNAcentral is "partial 16S ribosomal RNA". It matches the Rfam family "Bacterial small subunit ribosomal RNA", at positions 524 to 776 of the family's 1533-position model. The record is from RNAcentral.
UACGUAGGGUGCAAGCGUUAAUCGGAAUUACUGGGCGUAAAGCGUGCGCAGGCGGUGAUGUAAGACAGAUGUGAAAGCCCCGGGCUCAACCUGGGAACUGCAUUUGAAACUGGCGGGCUUGAGUGUGGCAGAGGGGGGUGGAAUUCCGCGUGUAGCAGUGAAAUGCGUAGAGAUGCGGAGGAACACCGAUGGCGAAGGCAGCCCCCUGGGCCAACACUGACGCUCAGGCACGAAAGCGUGGGGAGCAAACAGG